GACGAACGCUGGCGGCGUGCCUAAUACAUGCAAGUCGAGCGGACGAAUCGAAAGCUUGCUUUUGAUUCGUUAGCGGCGGACGGGUGAGUAACACGUGGGCAACCUGCCCUGUAGACGGGGAUAACACCGAGAAAUCGGUGCUAAUACCGGAUAACACGAAAUGUCGCAUGACGUUUCGUUGAAAGACGGCGCAAGCUGCCGCUACAGGAUGGGCCCGCGGCGCAUUAGCUAGUUGGUGAGGUAACGGCUCACCAAGGCGACGAUACGUAGCCGACCUGAGAGGGUGAUCGGCCACACUGGGACUGAGAUACGGCCCAGACUCCUACGGGAGGCAGCAGUAGGGAAUCUUCCGCAAUGGACGAAAGUCUGACGGAGCAACGCCGCGUGAGCGAAGAAGGCCUUCGGGUCGUAAAGCUCUGUUGUUAGGGAAGAACAAGUAACGCAGUAACUGGCGUUACCGUGACGGUACCUAACGAGAAAGCCACGGCUAACUACGUG
Molecule: ribosomal RNA, 498 nt
Filed under: uncultured bacterium
Lineage: Bacteria
Description: partial 16S ribosomal RNA
Rfam family: Bacterial small subunit ribosomal RNA
Source: RNAcentral